UUCAGCAGCUAUAUUUCACCUACAGUUCAGACUGGGUAAUCCAUCUGAAGCUAUGCAGGUUUGGGCCUGGCCAGUACUUGGAUGCAAGACCAACUAUGGAAGCUGGGUUUCUGCUGGAA
RNAcentral lists this ribosomal RNA (119 nucleotides) under Paramormyrops kingsleyae. Lineage: Eukaryota; Metazoa; Chordata; Actinopteri; Osteoglossiformes; Mormyridae. The record is from RNAcentral.